UUCCGGUUGAUCCUGCCGGAGGUCAUUGCUAUUGGAGUCCGAUUUAGCCAUGCUAGUCGCGCGGGUUUAGACCCGCGGCAUAUAGCUCAGUAACACGUGGCCAAACUACCCUAUGGACAGGGACAACCUCGGGAAACUGAGGCUAAUCCCUGAUACCACUCUCAUGCUGGAGUGCAGAGAGUGAGAAACGCUCCGGCGCCAUAGGAUGUGGCUGCGGCCGAUUAGGUAGAUGGUGGGGUAACGGCCCACCAUGCCCAUAAUCGGUACAGGUUGUGAGAGCAAGAGCCUGGAGACGGUAUCUGAGACAAGAUACCGGGCCCUACGGGGCGCAGCAGGCGCGAAACCUUUACACUGCACGACAGUGCGAUAAGGGGACUCCGAGUGCGAGGGCAUAUAGUCCUCGCUUUUCUGUACCGUAGGGAGGUACAGGAACAAGUGCUGGGCAAGACCGGUGCCAGCCGCCGCGGU
Molecule: ribosomal RNA, 468 nt
Filed under: uncultured archaeon
Lineage: Archaea
Description: bacterial SSU rRNA
Rfam family: Archaeal small subunit ribosomal RNA
Source: RNAcentral